UACGGAGGGUGCGAGCGUUAAUCGGAAUUACUGGGCGUAAAGCGUGCGUAGGUGGUUGGUUAAGUCCGAUGUGAAAGCCCUGGGCUCAACCUGGGAAUGGCAUGGGAUACUGGCUGGCUAGAGUGUGAUAGAGGGUCGUGGAAUUCCCGGUGUAGCGGUGAAAUGCGUAGAGAUCGGGAGGAACACCAGUGGCGAAGGCGGCGACCUGGGUCAACACUGACACUGAGGCACGAAAGCGUGGGGAGCAAACAGG
Molecule: ribosomal RNA, 253 nt
Filed under: uncultured prokaryote
Description: partial 16S ribosomal RNA
Rfam family: Bacterial small subunit ribosomal RNA
Source: RNAcentral